This 783-nucleotide long non-coding RNA is filed under the name Chrysolophus pictus (golden pheasant). RNAcentral describes it as "lncRNA (ENSCPIG00010013319.1)". The record is from RNAcentral. Lineage: Eukaryota; Metazoa; Chordata; Aves; Galliformes; Phasianidae.
GGAGAAUUUUCCAGCUGUAUGUAUAACGAUAUUUAUAUAUAUAUAUAUAUAUUCUUGUUCUCUUAUUUUCUUAUUUCCAGAUAAAGUUUUUCAUAAGAUCUCAGUGAUCUGAACAAUCUGUAAGACAGAGAACAAAGUUGGGGCAAAUUGUACAGUAUGUGGAAAUGCGUGUGGAAAAUCUCUACAGAAAAAAUCAGCCAUUCAAGGAUUAUGUGCAUCAAUAGACAAGUUACAGUGAAAGAAGAUGAGAUUCAAGUAUUCUCAAAAACGUUCAAGGGGCUUACUUGAUCCAACUGUUAUGGUUCAACAGAUAUAGCGUCUGACUAGCAGAGGUGAGAAACAGAACUGGGAUUCGCUGUGAAGAGGGCUGAGGGAGGACCGGGGCUAACCUUUGCUCUUGUUUUGCCCCGGAUUUUCGGCUUUGCACAUGAAUGGAUACUUUUCUAUUGAGAUCUUUCAUUAGGGGGAUGAAACAAAUUAACGGGAAAAGAAUACCAGUGAAUUCACUUUGUGUGCUAUCUCCGCGAAGUUUUUUUUCUGAGAUUCCAUGGAAAAAAUAAGAAACGCGGGAGCUUGAAAUGUCUCACGCAAAACUUUCAGAAUAGGCAGGGCAUCCCGGCAUUCCUCACGCUCAGCCCCACAGUAAAACUGCAGACCAAUCUGUUAUCAGCUACCAAAGUUUCUUACCAAAGAUGCAGUGUAAAAUAAGUUACUCAAAUUCUUCUGAAGUCCAUCUGUCUUUCAGAAAAUAAAACAUUUUCUUCUUGAUUGUGUAAUAGCUGC